This 882-nucleotide long non-coding RNA is filed under the name Homo sapiens (human). RNAcentral describes it as "HSALNT0310026". The record is from RNAcentral. Lineage: Eukaryota; Metazoa; Chordata; Mammalia; Primates; Hominidae.
AGUGUGACAGGGCUAGUUCCAAUGAUUCCAAUACAUACUGUCUCCUAAGUCUACAAUCAUAACUAAACCAUUUCAGUCAGAGGGAAAUAGGGAAUAUAGUGGCAAGGAAGCAAAUCACAUAGCAAGAGGGUGACAGAGGUUAAAUCACUACAUCAACAGAGAGUGGUGUAGUAAAGGGAGGAAGGGCUGGGAAAACUGCAUGAGGGUGGAUUACAGAGAGCUCUGAAUGCCAUUCUUGGUAGGAUAAAAUGUGAGAACUGAACCCCAACUGAGAAGGUGCCAAUUAAUUCAGGUGGCACUGACCUGUGAGGCUGAGGAGGUCUUAAUCACCAGAACACUAAAUGCUCAUUAUCCAACCUUUUAAUUAGCAAAGAAACUACCCUGUCUGGAAAAGUUUUCAGCAAAGAACUAAGAUUUGAUCAUGCUGUUAAAGAAAAAAAAAGAAAAGAAAAAAACAAUCCUCUGAUCUCUCCCAGGCAACAAAUCUUGUAUUUCAGAUGUAUGUUUUCAUAUCUUCCAGGUCCCAAUUGGAGAGAAAAUGAGGAAAAGGAGGAACAGAUGGGACUAAAAGCAGAAGGCACCUGAUGAAAGAGAAAAAGCAAGGCUGGGGGAAGGGUGUUUAGAGAAGGACUGGGAGAACAAAAGCAAAGAAUCUGAAAUGAGAGCAUGCUUUCUUCCGUUCCCAUGAACUUCAGAAUGAGCCACAUCUUUACUCAAAGCCUCCUCUGCUAUUUAUAUGUGUGACCUUAGGCUCUACAACCAUUCCAAAGAAAAACAGAUUAUAUGAACCUCUGGACUCUGGAGUAAGCAUGGCUCUAAUGCUCUGGAGGACACAUCCUUAUUCUCCAAGAUCUCUAUCAAGUCAUUUAGGUAAGUUUAAUA